Long non-coding RNA from Brassica napus (rape), 1203 nucleotides. RefSeq lists it as uncharacterized. The transcript is spliced from 3 exons. Lineage: Eukaryota; Viridiplantae; Streptophyta; Magnoliopsida; Brassicales; Brassicaceae. The record is from RefSeq and is a predicted model, not a curated record.
ACAAAACCAGUGGUCCAAUUAUAAAUAUAUACAACCAAAGCCUCUCUUCGUUAUCUUCCUCUUCCAUGUAGAGUAGGUUUCAGUCGGUUCAGUCUCCUCUGAGAAAUCAAAGUGACCCUUUCGGUUUCCAUGGAGCAGUGAAUCUUCUUCUACCUCUACAUCUCCCCCUUCUUAACUCUUUGGAUCAUUAAUGCUUCAGAAUCCUAACAAUUCAGUUAUUCCUUCUUAUAUAACCUCAUCGUAAAAACUGAAACUUUACAUAUCAAAUCCAGUAAUCACCAUUACAGAUUUAGAGAAAUCUUCCAACCCUUUCUGUCAAGUGACAAUCUCACCAGAAGACGCCAAUUAAUUAAUUAAUCUGUUUGGUCUUCUUCAUCCUAGAAAGACAAAGUCCUUCGUGGAUUAGAUCGGGACGGCUAUUGCAGCUUCGAUUGGCGGAAGAGCUAUCUGACUCUGAUCCAAAAAAUUCCGGAGGCGGAUCAUCAGAAUUAUCACUGCCUGUUACCCUUCCUCUUGAUUCAUACGCAAGCGCACAUGAAAACCCUAGGCAAACCCAUUAUCCAGAGAACUUGGGAGAGGAUGGUGUCAACUUUUACGCUUUGGGCUGUGAGUCACAGACUGUAACGUUGUGGGCCAGAUAAAAAAGAGAAAAUGGAUGACGUGUUAGAGCUACACCAGUGUCGAAGAUCUGAAAAAAAGUUUCCAUGGCCACCGCUUCUGUCGUAUAUGACUCAGUGAACCUCUCCACUUAUCUGUUACACUUGGUAAACCUUCCACCCUAUUGAUUCAUCUGCUUGAAGAUGUUUCAUCAUCGUUGCUCACUGAAAGCAGCAGCAACAACUACCUUGAUUUGAUAAAGUGACAUAGCGGUUUGUGGAGGAAGCACUACAAGAGCACGGAGGAGAGAAGAGGAUAUUUCCAAACGCAAGAAGGUGAUUCUGAAAAAAAAAAGAGAAAGUCUGUUCUUCAGUUGUCUACGAGAUGAUUUUUGCUUUUAGCUGCAAGCAAAUAAUGAAAGUAUGAUUCUGUACUCAGAAGUCAAAAGGCUGGACUUAUCCACUCUUCUUACAAUUUAAACUGCAUCUGAAUAAGAUUUGUUGUUUUAGCUACACCUUACAUCUCUGAAUAACUCUUCUAAAACUGUACGAUAUUUUUGUUUUAAAAGCCUUGCCAACCUUCUUGGUUGUGAAAUGUUUUAGAUCA